AGUCAAGUUUUAUCACUCGCAGUGCGCUUUUGUGCUUAAUAGAUACUGAAUAAAUUAAAUCAUUUAAAAUGUCAACUGGUGACGUAAUUAUUUUAUUUACAACAGUGUUAAUAUGCAUCGUGAUCGAUCUGAAAGUAGAAGCUCAGACAGAAGGGCAGAUGUUUUUAACCAGUGAAAUCAAUGUAAAACCAUCGCUGAUUCUUCCUGUGGUGAUGUUUACAAUGGAAAAUGUGAAUGCACCGCGGGUACCUUUUGUUGAGAUCGAAUCCACGAGACCAUUGCCGGUAGACAGAACGAAGUCACCUACAAACUUUGAUGUGACUUAUACAUUGACAACUGCCACACUAGACGAGGUUAAACCUGACUCAGCAUUUACGAUCAAACCGACUCCAAAUCUAGGCGAUGCCAUAUUAACUACUGAAGUUGGAGCGAUCGACAGGAACUCCCGUGCUAUAAAACCAACUCGAGUCGUCAGUUCUGGAAGCUCGGGAUCAUAUACAAAGCCUUAAAAUAAACCGAGGGAUAGAAAUGAAUAAUGAAAAGUGAGCGUGUAAUUGAAGAACAAUGACUGCUGCCAAAUUUUAGACUGAACACUACAUAGUAGUUACAUAUGAUUACAUGUUAUUGUAUAUGUACACUGCAAUAAUAUAUGUUUAUAGUAUGUGGA
Molecule: long non-coding RNA, 667 nt
Organism: Melitaea cinxia (Glanville fritillary)
Lineage: Eukaryota; Metazoa; Arthropoda; Insecta; Lepidoptera; Nymphalidae
Exons: 2
Source: RefSeq, a predicted model, not a curated record